CAAUACGUCAGCGGCAGACGGGUGAGUAACGCGUGGGAACGUACCUUUUGGUUCGGGAUAACCCAGGGAAACUUGGACUAAUACCGGAUAAGCCCUUACGGGGAAAGAUUUAUCGCCGAAAGAUCGGCCCGCGUCUGAUUAGCUAGUUGGUGAGGUAACGGCUCACCAAGGCGACGAUCAGUAGCUGGUCUGAGAGGAUGAUCAGCCACACUGGCACUGCGACACGGGCCAG
This 232-nucleotide ribosomal RNA is filed under the name uncultured bacterium. Its description in RNAcentral is "partial 16S ribosomal RNA". It matches the Rfam family "Bacterial small subunit ribosomal RNA", at positions 85 to 334 of the family's 1533-position model. The record is from RNAcentral.